RNAcentral lists this ribosomal RNA (446 nucleotides) under uncultured bacterium. Its description in RNAcentral is "SSU rRNA". It matches the Rfam family "Bacterial small subunit ribosomal RNA", at positions 26 to 518 of the family's 1533-position model. The record is from RNAcentral.
AGAACGAACGCUGGCGGCAGGCUUAACACAUGCAAGUCGAACGCUUCCUUCGGGGAGAGUGGCAGACGGGUGAGUAACACGUGGGAACGUACCCCUUUGUUCGGAAUAACCCUGGGAAACUAGGGCUAAUACCGGAUACGGCCGAGAGGCGAAAGGUUUACCGCAGAGGGAUCGGCCCGCGUCCGAUUAGCUAGUUGGUGAGGUAAUGGCUCACCAAGGCAUCGAUCGGUAGCUGGUCUGAGAGGAUGACCAGCCACAUUGGGACUGAGACACGGCCCAAACUCCUACGGGAGGCAGCAGUGGGGAAUAUUGGACAAUGGGCGCAAGCCUGAUCCAGCCAUGCCGCGUGAGUGAUGACGGCCUUAGGGUUGUAAAGCUCUUUUACCUGGGAAGAUCAUGACGGUACCAGGAGAAUAAGCCCCGGCUAACUUCGCGCCAGCAGCCGC